Molecule: ribosomal RNA, 998 nt
Filed under: uncultured delta proteobacterium
Lineage: Bacteria; Deltaproteobacteria
Description: bacterial SSU rRNA
Rfam family: Bacterial small subunit ribosomal RNA
Source: RNAcentral
GGGCGUCUUACACAUGCAGGUCGACGAGAAAAGAAGCUUCGGCUUCUGAGUAAAGUGGCGAACGGGUGCGUAACACGUAAGUAAUCUACCCUAAACUCUGGAAUAACUUCCCGAAAGGGGAGCUAAGACUGGAUAGGGUCCUCGAGGUGUAAGCCGCGGGGGGAAAGCAGGCCUCUGUCACAAGCUUGCGGUUUAGGAUGAGCUUGCGUCCCAUUAGUUUGUUGGUGAGGUAACGGCUCACCAAGACGACGAUGGGUAGCUGGUCUGAGAGGAUGAUCAGUCACACUGGCACUGAGACACGGGCCAGACUCCUACGGGAGGCAGCAGUGGGGAAUUUUGCGCAAUGGGCGAAAGCCUAACGCAGUAACGCCGCGUGGAGGAUGAAGGCCUUCGGGUUGUAAACUCCUGUCAGGGGGAAAGAAGAGCUCGAGGACAGAAUACGUCCCCGGGUUCUGACGGUACCCCCAAAGGAAGCCCCGGCUAAUUCCGUGCCAGCAGCCGCGGUAAUACGGAAGGGGCUAGCGUUGUUCGGAAUCAUUGGGCGUAAAGGGCGCGUAGGUGGUCUUAUGUGUCCGUCGUGAAAGGGCACGGCUCAACCGUGUUUGGUCGGCGGAAACUGUAAGACUUGAGGCUGGGAGGGGCUGGAGGAAUCCCCUGUGUAGCGGUGAAAUGCGUAGAGAUAGGGGAGAACACUCGUGGCGAAGGCGUCCAGCUGGACCAGUCCUGACACUGAGGCGCGAAAGCGUGGGUAGCAAACAGGAUUAGAUACCCUGGUAGUCCACGCCGUAAACGAUGGGCACUAGGUGCCGGCGGUAUUGAUCCCGUCGGUGCCGGCGCUAACGCAGUAAGUGCCCCGCCUGGGGAGUACGGUCGCAAGGCUGAAACUCAAAGGAAUUGACGGGGGGCCCGCACAAGCGGUGGAGCAUGUGGUUUAAUUCGACGCAACGCGAAGAACCUUACCUGGAUUUGACAUGUACAGGACCGGCAAUGAAAGUUUG